Molecule: transfer RNA, 24 nt
Filed under: Coptotermes lacteus (milk termite)
Lineage: Eukaryota; Metazoa; Arthropoda; Insecta; Blattodea; Rhinotermitidae
Description: partial tRNA-Tyr
Source: RNAcentral
UAAUUUAUCUCAGCCGCUCCACUA